GAUGAACGCUGGCGGCGUGCCUAAUACAUGCAAGUCGAGCGAACGGACGAGAAGCUUGCUUCUCUGAUGUUAGCGGCGGACGGGUGAGUAACACGUGGAGAACCUACCUAUAAGACUGGGACAACUUCGGGAAACGGGAGCUAAUACCGGAUGAUAUUUUGAAACGCAUGGUUUAAGAUUGAAAGACGGUCUUGCUGUCACUUAUAGAUGGAUCCGCGCUGUGUUAGCUAGUUGGUAAGGUAACGGCUUACCAAGGCAAAAAUACGUAGCCGACCGGGGAGGGUGGGCGGGCCCAAUGGGACUGAGACACGGCCCCAACUCCUACAGGAGGCAGCAGUAGGGGAACUUCGGCAAUGGGCGAAAGUCUCACCGAGCAAAGCCGCGUGAGUGAAGAAGGUUUUCGGAUCGUAAAACUCUGUUGUUAGAGGAGAAAGUUGGUGGGAGUGGAAAGCUCAUCAAGUGACGGUAACUAACCAGAAAGGCACGGCUAACUACGUG
RNAcentral lists this ribosomal RNA (498 nucleotides) under uncultured bacterium. Its description in RNAcentral is "partial 16S ribosomal RNA". It matches the Rfam family "Bacterial small subunit ribosomal RNA", at positions 28 to 507 of the family's 1533-position model. The record is from RNAcentral.